AUUGAACGCUGGCGGCAUGCCUUACACAUGCAAGUCGAACGGCAGCAUGGAGAGCUUGCUCUCUGAUGGCGAGUGGCGAACGGGUGAGUAAUGCAUCGGAACGUACCGUGUAAUGGGGGAUAACGUAGCGAAAGUUACGCUAAUACCGCAUACGACCUGAGGGUGAAAGCAGGGGAUCGCAAGACCUUGCGUUAUACGAGCGGCCGAUGUCAGAUUAGCUAGUUGGUGAGGUAAAGGCUCACCAAGGCGACGAUCUGUAGCGGGUCUGAGAGGAUGAUCCGCCACACUGGGACUGAGACACGGCCCAGACUCCUACGGGAGGCAGCAGUGGGGAAUUUUGGACAGUGGGGGCAACCCUGAUCCAGCCAUGCCGCGUGAGUGAAGAAGGCCUUCGGGUUGUAAAGCUCUUUCGGCAGGAACGAAACGGUGAGCUCUAACAUAGCUUGCUAAUGACGGUACCUGAAGAAGAAGCACCGGCUAACUACGUGCCAGCCGCCGCAGUAA
RNAcentral lists this ribosomal RNA (504 nucleotides) under uncultured bacterium. Its description in RNAcentral is "partial 16S ribosomal RNA". It matches the Rfam family "Bacterial small subunit ribosomal RNA", at positions 30 to 523 of the family's 1533-position model. The record is from RNAcentral.